UGGGGAAUAUUGGGCAAUGGGCGCAAGCCUGACCCAGCAACGCCGCGUGAAGGAAGAAGGCUUUCGGGUUGUAAACUUCUUUUGUCAGGGAACAGUAGAAGAGGGUACCUGACGAAUAAGCCACGGCUAACUACGUGCCAGCAGCCGCGGUAAUACGUAGGUGGCAAGCGUUGUCCGGAUUUACUGGGUGUAAAGGGCGUGCAGCCGGGCUGGUAAGUCAGAUGUGAAAUCUGGAGGCUCAACCUCCAAACUGCAUUUGAAACUGCUGGUCUUGAGUACCGGAGAGGUUAUCGGAAUUCCUUGUGUAGCGGUGAAAUGCGUAGAUAUAAGGAAGAACACCAGUGGCGAAGGCGGAUAACUGGACGGCAACUGACGGUGAGGCGCGAAAGCGUGGGGAGCAAACAGG
RNAcentral lists this ribosomal RNA (406 nucleotides) under uncultured bacterium. RNAcentral's name for it is "bacterial SSU rRNA". It matches the Rfam family "Bacterial small subunit ribosomal RNA", at positions 355 to 776 of the family's 1533-position model. The record is from RNAcentral.